UACACUCCUACGGGAGGCAGCAGUGGGGAAUAUUGGACAAUGGGCGCAAGCCUGAUCCAGCCAUGCCGCGUGAGUGAUGAAGGCCCUAGGGUUGUAAAGCUCUUUCACCGGUGAAGAUAAUGACGGUAACCGGAGAAGAAGCCCCGGCUAACUUCGUGCCAGCAGCCGCGGUAAUACGAAGGGGGCUAGCGUUGUUCGGAUUUACUGGGCGUAAAGCGCACGUAGGCGGACUAUUAAGUCAGGGGUGAAAUCCCGGGGCUCAACCCCGGAACUGCCUUUGAUACUGGUAGUCUUGAGUUCGAGAGAGGUGAGUGGAAUUCCGAGUGUAGAGGUGAAAUUCGUAGAUAUUCGGAGGAACACCAGUGGCGAAGGCGGCUCACUGGCUCGAUACUGACGCUGAGGUGCGAAAGCGUGGGGAGCAAACAGGAUUAGAAACCCCUGUAGUCCCAU
This 450-nucleotide ribosomal RNA is filed under the name uncultured organism. RNAcentral describes it as "partial 16S ribosomal RNA". It matches the Rfam family "Bacterial small subunit ribosomal RNA", at positions 332 to 798 of the family's 1533-position model. The record is from RNAcentral.